Molecule: long non-coding RNA, 317 nt
Organism: Eucalyptus grandis
Lineage: Eukaryota; Viridiplantae; Streptophyta; Magnoliopsida; Myrtales; Myrtaceae
Exons: 2
Source: RefSeq, a predicted model, not a curated record
UGCCGGGAAGAUGUGCAUGACUGGAGCAUCCGGUUACAUCACCUCGCGGUUCGUCAAGCCCCUCUUGCAGUGUGGCUGCACCGUCAAUGCCUCCGUUCACGAUCCAAGUUUCGAGAAUGGAGGAGGGUGACGAAUUUAUGAAGAACGCAUGAUGGGGCUGGUUUCUUCAUUUUGCUCCUUGAAUCAAUCUUAUUAGACUGAAUUUACAAAAUUCCUAAUAUGGUAAAUUCAUGGUAUUUUGGACCUUAUGGUUUUCCAUCUAAUGCAAGGUUUUGUCCGGUUAGGACCUUUCUUGUGAAAUGAUUCAUUUUGAUUAA